This 481-nucleotide ribosomal RNA is filed under the name uncultured bacterium. Its description in RNAcentral is "partial 16S ribosomal RNA". It matches the Rfam family "Bacterial small subunit ribosomal RNA", at positions 28 to 507 of the family's 1533-position model. The record is from RNAcentral.
GAUGAACGCUGGCGGCGUGCCUAACACAUGCAAGUCGAACGGAGAUUACGGACGGAAGUUUUCGGAUGGAAGCCUGUAAUUCUUAGUGGCGGACGGGUGAGUAACGCGUGGGCAACCUGCCCUAUACAGGGGGAUAGCAGCUGGAAACGGCUGGUAAGACCGCAUAAGUCGGUUAAAUCGCAUGAUGUGAUCGGGAAAUGAGCAAUCAGGUAUAGGAUGGGCCCGCGUCCGAUUAGCCAGUUGGCAGGGUAAAAGCCUACCAAAGCGACGAUCGGUAGCCGGACUGAGAGGUCGGACGGCCACAUUGGGACUGCGACACGGCCCACACUCCUACGGGAGGCAGCAGUGGGGGAUAUUGCACUAUGGAGGAAUCUCUGAUGCAGCGACGCCGCGUGAGUGAAGAAGUAUUUCGGUAUGUCAAGCUCUAUCAGCAGGGAAGAUGAUGACGGUACCUGACUAAGAAGCCCCGGCUAACUACGUG